GAUGCUGGCUGAGGGCAGGCAGAGGCUAGGCUUGUUUGUUGAGAGGUCAAUAUGAACUAAAUUACACCAGAGAGGGCUUUAGAGUAGCAAAUUCAUUAUGUACGACAAUAUUCUUAAAAACAAGAAAAUUAUUCUAAUGCGGAAAAUUGCUAAGGUUAAGAUUAACCAAUAGCGCACUAAAUGUUUUACUUGUUUUCAUGGAUGAGAUUAAAUUGGAUAGGAUAUUCCAGAUCAAUCACAAAAAGAAAGGAAUAUUCU
This 258-nucleotide long non-coding RNA is filed under the name Phoenix dactylifera (date palm). RNAcentral describes it as "long non-coding RNA (PDAC_LNC001044)". Lineage: Eukaryota; Viridiplantae; Streptophyta; Magnoliopsida; Arecales; Arecaceae. The record is from RNAcentral.